Small nucleolar RNA from Neltuma alba, 84 nucleotides. RefSeq annotates it as small nucleolar RNA R32/R81/Z41. The record is from RefSeq and is a predicted model, not a curated record. The transcript has a single exon. NCBI's taxonomy places the organism in Eukaryota, Viridiplantae, Streptophyta, Magnoliopsida, Fabales, Fabaceae.
CGACGAAGAGGAUGAAAGCAAAUUAAAGGAUGUGUGAUCAUCAAUGAUCAAAACUAUCCUCGCUACGUUCUUUCUGAUUCGUCU